AUAGAAAAGAGUUAUUUUAUUCAGAAAAGGAGUAACAUUCUAAAACCUCUACAAAACCAGUCACAUUUGCGUACAUUAUUAUUACUCUUUUUAUUACUAUUUAACUUCCUUUUACAGUAGAGGUUCACUGGGUAAGCUCUUAAGCAUCAGCCUUCCUUGGCCCUCCGUAGCUAGCUGGGCCACUGCUGUGCGUCAAAGUGGUCUCGAUCGUGUUGAACUUAACCCUUCUUGCUUCUUCGAGUGAGAUUUGGUACCCAUUGGAUAUGACCUCUAAUGGUAAACCUCUCAAGACCGAGGUUCGUCCAGCAAGUGUGUUGAUCUGUGCGUUUGCGUUUGUCUUGAACUCGAUCCACCGGAACUGUUCGCUUGUUGCGCGUUUCACCACGGAGAAACCUUGUGGUAUGGAAAGUAGCUGUCCUUGAGAGACUUGUCCGUCGAACACUCUGUCACCGUUGUCGUUAACCACCUGCACAUGGGCUUCCCCGUCUGUCACGUAGAGAACCGCGUUUGCGUUUGCGUUCCACUGUGGAAGCACCAUCGCGUUCUACAUCCAAUAAAUGUUUCAAUAGUCAUGUUUAUAGCGAACCGGAAACAGAAACCAAACCGAGAUGGUUAUAGAAUUAAUACGGCACGUGCCAAACCGAUAAGCAUAAUAAUGCUAACCAAACUUUCAAAUGUUAAUUCCUAUUAAAAUGCAUAUGUACUUACUUGACGGAUAGAUCCACGGAGGGCUGAGAGACGAAGGAAGCGAAGGAUGGGGAGAUCAUAGCUGUUCAGAGUGCUGAUGUAACCGAGCUGUGGCUUGUAUACGUCAGCAUUAGAUGGGUCAUCGAGGUUAUCGGUGCACCUCGCGCUGCAUAUGGUCUCUUCUAAACCGUUAACUUCCUCCUGCGGUCUCUGACUCCUCAAAGGCGGCCUAAUGACACUGAAUGGGCCUUGGACUCGGAUAAUGUUUCCACGGUUGUCUUGCUGGUUCUGAAGUUGUUGCGCUGUCCUAACAUCGAUCUUGAAAGCUUUAGCAAGAACCUCUGGUGUGAAGCCAUUAAGGAUGUUCUUUUGUGGCUGUUGCUCGCGUCCUUCUAUCCAUACUUGGCCUUGUGGGUUGUUUCCGGCUAAGUAAAAUGGCUACAGAUAAAACAGAAAACCAUAUUUUUGAUAUUCUGUAAUUAUAAAAGAAGUUAUAUGAUGAGAAAAAGACAAAAAUAGCACUAAAUCAAGUUUAUGUUCUCAAACUAGCACCCAAGGUCAAAAGUCACAAAAAUAGCACUUAAUGUUUUAUCAAAAGUCACAAACUUAGGGUUUAGAGUUAAAGGCUGGGGUUUAGGAUUUAGGGUUUAGGGUUUAGGGUUUGGGGUUUAGGGUUUAAGGUUUAGAUUUUAGGGUUUAUGGUUUAGGGUUUAGAGUUGAGAAAUGAGGUUUUGGGGAUAAGAUUUCAAAUUUUGAAAAAUAAAAAAAUUAAAAUUUUCAAAGGAUAAACUUAGAAAAGUAUCAUUUUGGUCAUUUUAGUCAUUUUAGUUUUUGAUUGCUAUUUUUGUGAUAUAAAUUUAGAAAUAUGCUAUUUUGGAGAUUUGCCCUUGAUUGCUUUUGAGGUUUUUGUUUAUUUAUAUACCCUUGGGUUGCGGUCGAGCUGAUUCUGGUGGCUGGCUAAAUCGAGGACGGAAACGAUGACAAGUGGUUGGUUUCCGUCGUUGUAGAACCAUUGGGCUACACCGGGAUGUGUAGCGAUGGUGUCCCCAGUCCUUAUGUGCUCCACUUUCUGGUGCAUAUCACGGAAGCCCUGGCCUUGACUCUGUUGUCCUUGCUGACCUUGUUGGCCCUGUUGUCCCUGGCCUUGACCCUGGUGGCCUUGGCCCUGACCUUGUUGUCCCUGGCCCUGACCUUCUCCGAAGGGGCUACCACCGCCUGGUUGAAACACUGAUGAGUCCUGGAAUGUCUCGGCGCAUCCAGGGACCACUCUCCCCAUAAGACCUUCUCCUAUAAUGUAACAAACCAAAAAAAAAAAAUUUAGUGCGCAGUUCUGUGAACAUCGACCAUAUAUUUAGGUUAUAAAUUAAACAAAAAAAUAUUAUAAUGUAUUUGAUCAAAACCUUAGCACGUGUAUAGUGAUAUACUUACUACAACACUUUUCUCAAAAGACUGAACCUUAAAGAUCACGAAUUUGAAUCUCGAUACUCAUAUAGUAUCAAAAUCAGAUUCACGUACCUUUAGCCACGAAGGAGAGCUUCGCGGUGCUAAAGAAAGAGGGCAAGUAGAGACCCUUAGACUCGAUGAUGUAACGUACAAAGGAGACACCAGAGCAACGUAGCUGAGGAGCGUGGUGGUCCCACACCUCGAUGCGACCAGCCUCAGCCUUAAGUACGUGUGACGGCUCCAGUGCAUUGAGCUGGUCUAGCUGACACUCGUUUGGAAACUGUUGAGCUGUAGAGCCAUGGAGAAAGAUCAAAAGUGCUAAGGAAAAAGAGAGAAGAGAUGAGAGCCGAGCCAUUUUCUCUUUACUUAGUUGUUGUGGUUUUUCUGGUCUUACAGCUGCGUUAGAUGAAGCUAUUUAUAGUGAACUUAUUUGUAUAGAUGUUGAUAAAUUUUUUUGAGGAUAAAUUGAAUGAGAUAAGAACCAGGUAUAUAGAGUCGACUAUGUACAAUCUACACUUCAUUUGAGUUGCUAUCUUUAUGUCUUCUUCUGAAAAUUUAAUUUGGCUUCACAUUGUAAGAAAACACAUAUUAACGAAGGGAGUUUGACACAUCUCAAUUUGCAUGGCUUAUUGAACUGCAUGUCUUUACACAUCAACUUUGAGAUAGGCAUAUGUAAUAGGACAAAAUAUAUAUUUCUUGUAUAUAUAUACUGAUUUGUUUGUCAAGAUAUAUAUAAAAAUUGUAUUAUUCUUUACAUUUGAUCAGUAUAACAAAUUUACAAUAACAUCACUAUAGCAAUUACGUUUGAAACGAACUGCUCCUGCAACUUGGUUAAGAUGAUAGUUUUACUAAUGUUGGUAAUAAACAAAGAUUUCUAGUAAUAUUGUUAGACAAAAAAAUAUGCAAUAAGAUUGCAAAUUUGAUCUAGACAUGUUUUGAUUAGAUCGUAGUAUAACGGAUUAACGGUCACACUCGAAUUUAGGCAUGGGCAUAUAAAAUCCGGAACCCGAAAUCCGAACCGAACCCGAACUGAAAAAACCCGUCCGUUAUCCGACCCGAAACGUAAAAAUACCCGAACGGGUCUUGUAGGGUGGUACAAAAAAUAUCCGAACCCGAAGUGUUAUUAACCGAACCCGAACGGAUAACCCGAAAAAUCCGAAAUUAAUAGUCAAUAUAAAUAUUUUGAAAUAUAUAUAAGUAUUCCAAUUAUUAAAUUCAAUAUUUGUGGUAAUAUUAUAUAUAAUAAUAAAUAUUAAAAUUCUAAUAAAUGAUUUAAGUACACAAUUAGUUAUAAAUAAGUAUUUUAUAAUUUGCUCAUUGAAAUAAAAAGUCUACUCUCUAUAAGGCAAUACAUAUUUUUUAUAAAUGAUGUUUGUUUUCAUGCUUGAUUUAACAUUUUAUUGUUAUUUUAUCAAUUUUAUAUGUGAUAGAUUAAUUUUUCUUUAAUUUAGAUGUUUUUCUUUAUCUUUUACUUCAAAAAAUUUGUUUUUUACUUUGGUUAUAUCCGAACCGAACCGAUAUAACCCGAAUCCGUACGAUAUAUGAUUACUUUAUGGGUUUUAUGAUGCAAUACAAUUUUGAACCGAACCCGAUCCGUACUAAUAAAAUUUUAGUAUGGGACCUAGAAGCGUAAACCCGAAAAUUCGAAAACCCAAAAACCCCAAAAAACCUGAUCUGAAUGCCAGCGGGUACCCGAACGCCUAGGCCUACUCGGAGAAAUGUUAAAGUUUCGAAAGACUGAUUAAUCAUGGACAUGCAAAUGAUUAAUGUUAACAAAAAUGGUAACUAUAAGAAGACAAUCGAGAGAAAAGACGUAGCGACACAAAACGACUCUGAGACACACGUGACAUGAGAGAUGUGUCGGACGCGACGAGCCGUGCUUUCAUCAUAUUCCACCGCCAUGACGAGUGUACGGCUGCAUGCUGCUCACAGUCCCUUUGGAAUUUCAUUCCAUUUUUCCAUUUUUCAUAAAUACGAAUUUGUAACUUUUUUUUCUUUUUUUUGCUAACACUUCGAUUACUUCUUUUCCUAAACAUUAUUUUUUUUUUCUUUUUGACAACAACACUUCAAUUACUUUUUCUUAUUCUAACACUUCAAUUACAUUAUAUUUAAUCUUUUGGUCUAACAAUAAAUUGAUCGGAAAAAGGAAACACUACCGUUAGGGUAUCUCCAAUGUGGCUCUAUAAUUUCUUCUAUUAUUUCCACUAAAAUAGAACAACUCUACUAUAGAAUUGGUUUUGUUCCAAUGGUUAACUCUAUAAUAGAGUGGAAUAUAGAAGAAUGCUGUUUUUCUACUCCAAAUAUAGAGUGAACAAAACAACAUUACUUUAUAUUUAACUCUAUUAUAGAGUAACUCUAUUAUAUAGUUAACCACUGGAGCGUGUUUAAAAAAAAAAAAAAAAAAGUUAACCAUUGGAGCAAAACCAACUCUAUAACAGAGUUACUCUAUUUUAAUGGGAAUUAUAGAGGAGAUUACAGAGCACCAUUGGAGAUGGUCUUACAUAUGUACGAAUUUAUAUGAACUUAUUGAUAAUUAUCAAAUAUAUUAACCUGUAAGGGUCUGAGAUGCACGCCCUACAGAUUUCUCUCUCAGGCACUUUGAUCGAGGCAAGCUUGUUUUUCAAAAACUGAGCCACCUCCUCCGUGCUCCACCGCAACUCCACUGCCCUCCAUCCAGUCAACCACCGCACCUGUUUCUCCGGCAUGACAAAUUUUUCUUCCCACAGAUCCUCCUCGUGAAGAUGUCUUGUUUGACGGUGUUAAAAGUGCAAGUUAGAAGCGUAGUUGGAGCAGAUCUGAUUUUUCCUCUGAAAUAAGUUGAAGCUUUUAGAUAUUACCUCUAGCUUGAGGAUACUGGAUGCGACGCCCUCCUUGGUCUCUCAGUAACGUUUUUUCAUCAGUGUUAAACUUUCACUAUCAUUUACCUCGCCUCUGAGGAUUCAAGAAUGGCUAACCGUUACACUAGAUCCGAAAAGGGUAAGUGGGUAGCAGGGUCUUCUAGACUUCCCCAAAAGAUCCGCUACUCCAGUCCGCAGAGCUCCGAUACGGAUCCCCCCGAGCAAUAAUGCGGAACUUAUCGAAGACAACAAGCUCACUCUCUUAGGUCGUGUGACUAAUCCCUUUGUCCAAAAACCUAAAUGGGUUCUGGAUUGGCUUAUCCAGUACUGGAAUCUGGAAACGGCAGUAACAGGAAGAACCCUAGGUCACGACCUUUUUCAAGUCAAGUCCGAAACAGAGGAGGCUCUUCAGUCGGUGAUGAGACGAGCUCCCUUUCAUUACAACCGAUGGAUGAUAAUUCUACAGAGAUGGGAACCGGUUGUUUCAACGGCAUUCCCCAAACGUACCCCCUUUUGGAUCAAAAUCCACGGUCUUCCCCUCCAUUACUGGACAGUGGAAACGUUAUACGCAAUAGCCAAAGGACUAGGUCCGAGGCUUGAUGAUGAUGUUCCCCAAGGUAAACUUCGGAUUGAUGUUGACUGUCUCAGCAACUUGGAAAUGCAGCUUCCGCUAGAGCUGCCAUCAGGAGAUGUCCUAACAGUGGAUUUGGAGUAUGAAAAACUGGAAAAGCAUUGCUUCUACUGCUAUUCCCUCUUCCAUGAGGAAGCCUCUUGUCCCACUAAACCGGCGGCAGUAAGAGGUUCGGCUCAGGCAACGGGAAUCAGUCAACAAAACACUCUGAGAAGCUUAGAAGAGCACAGAAGACGCCAUGACCAACGUCGAACUUCCUCAAACCAGUCUAGAUCCUCGGUUGAGCGGUCAAAAGGAAACCAAGCUGUUUCCCAAUGGUCAACUAACUCCAGGCCACUUCUCUCAGAGCGUCGCCCCCAACCUGCUCAUGCUAGUCAUCAACGUUACCCUGAUAGGGAAGCAGACAAAUAUCACAGUUAUCAUCACCAAAGGUCCCCGCGGAGGGAGUAUCAAGUUCGAUCUCCUCCCCGAACCUAUAAAGACCAUCACAAAUCCAGGGCUCGCUCUUACCAAUCUUAGUAUUCAAGGACUCCACCCCCGUUGCCUGCUCGCGAACCUACGGACUUGCCGGAGAUCCCUGAACGUGGAGAGGUUAACAGUCGUUCCCAUGAACGUCGAUCUACUUUGGAGAGAUUGGAACACCCUUCUCAGAAACCCCAGCGUUCAGGAGGCCUCUACAACUCUUUGCUAGCCAGACUUCAAGACGUGGAGGUCACCUAUGACCAAGAAGAUCUUCGAGUGAAGCUGUCAGAAGGAGGUUCGGGAAAUAAAACUGCCCCUAUAACUCCAAGUGAACCGCCAGGUUCAGGUCAGAGAGUUCAUACUUCUCUUCGGCUAGGGUCCCCUGUUCAGGUUGAUCCAAAGAAAAAGCAGCCGGCCUCGUCAAGUAAAACAGCAGCAGCAGCAAAGAAAGCUCCGACCAAGAGGAAAGCACCCGCAAAAACUACUAUCCCAGCAAAGAGAGCUACAAGGCCAAAGAUUGCUAGGAGCCCGAGACAAAGCACUCGUCUCUCAAAACAACUGACGGCAAGAACCGCGAACCCACUGCGCAAAAAGUUGUGUGUGGAAAAAGACGGAACUGAAGAUAUACCUGGCUCUCAAGUUCAAGCUGCACCAGGCGUGGUGAUCGUACCAGCGGUAAGGAAGGGUAGAACGGAUUUUCGGGAUCCGCAAAACCCGAUUCCUUAGCUCUUGUGUGCUGGAACUGUCAAGGUUUGGGGGGUGAUUUGAUAGUUUCAAGGAUCCGGGAAAUGAAAAGAAUUUUGGCCCCAGAUAUCCUAUUUCUAACGGAGACAAAGAACCAGGAUGCAUUUGUUCUAGCUGAGCUCCAGUUUAUGGGUUACGAUCACCACUUCACCGUCCCACCAGUAGGCCUCAGCGGGGGAUUAGCUCUAUUCUGGAAAGCGGAUUUCUCACUGGACAUCCUUGAAGCAUCGGCGCACUUCAUAGAUGCCAAACUGAAGGUAAAAGCCUUUGUUUUCCAUAUCACCUUUAUUUAUGGAAUGCCGCAACAAGAACAUAGAGCCACUUUUUGGGAGAAGAUUUCCCAGGUAGGAGAGAAUAGGGAAACUGCCUGGUUGUUAUCAAGAGACUUUAACGAUAUUCUAGAAAACAAUGAGAAAGUUGGAGGUCCCGAAAGAUGCGAAGGUUCUUUCAUCCCGUUUUGUAGUUUUGUCUCCCAAAAUGGAUUAUGGGAUGUCAAGCAUAUCGGAAACUCCCUAUCAUGGAGAGGUCAACGCGGUUCCCACUACAUCAGAUCUCGCUUGGACCGUUCUCUUGCAAACUGCGCAUGGUUUGAUAUGUUCCCUGCAGGGCGCUGCGAUUACCUCCGUUUUGAGGGUUCUGAUCAUCGACCGAUUGUCACUUAUUUGGAUACCUCUAAAGUGAAGCGAAAGCGCCUGUUUAGGUAUGAUAGAGGUAUCAAAGAAGAUCCUGAAGCGAGGAAAGUAAUUGAAGAGGCGUGGAAGAAAGAUACCCUGGAACAAGUAGAGUCAAAGAUAAAGAGAUGCCGGAAUGAGCUGAUCAAAUGGUCAAAAGCUAAGAAGGAAAACAGCGCAAAAACAAUUCUAGAGCUCCAGGAGAAGUUGGAGGAGAACCUGUCCUCGGAUUCUCCCUCCAUAGAGUUCAUCCAAGAGCUCUCGCUAGCUUUGUCUAAAGCAUAUAAGGCUGAGGAACUGUUUUGAAGGCAGAGAAAUCGAAUUAUGUGGCUGCAAGGGGGUGAUCGUAACAGUGCCUAUUUUCAUGCAGUCACUAAAGGAAGAAGAUCUUUCAAUUGCCUCACCACCAUAGAAAAUGAAAUGGGAGUUUCUUUUCAUGAGGAAGCAUAAAUUGGUGAGGUGUUUGCAGACUACUACUCAAAGCUUUUCACCUCAAAUGGAGCUCAUAACUUAGAAGCGGUGGAGGAAGCAGUCACAGCAAGAGUGAACUUGGAGAUCAACCAAACCAUCUCAACAAUUCCUAUGGAUGCAGAGAUCCUACUGGCAAUCAAGAGCAUCCAUUCGGAUAAGGCACCAGGGCCAGAUGAGUUCUCGUCGGGAUUCUACCAUUCAUUUUGGGAUUUGAUUGGAGUUGAUAUUUGCAGAGAAGUGCGACAUUUUUUUGAGACAUGAAAGAUGGACAAAAGGAUCAAUGAGACCCAUAUAUGCCUGCUCCCAAAGAUCUUGGGACCGAAAUGCCCCUCGGAGUUCCGUCCCAUUGCUCUCUGCAAUGUACGAUACAAGAUAAUAACAAGGAUCCUAACUCUCCGGCUUCAGAAGUUUCUAGAUACCAUUGUCUCGGUGCAUCAAUCUGCCUUUAUCCCGGGACGUGCGAUCACGGACAACAUCUUGAUUACCCAUGAGACCUUACACUUUUUAAAAGUGUCAAGAGGCAACCAAGCGAUGCUCAAUGGUGGUCAAAACUGACAUGAGCAAAGCCUAUGACCGGAUUGAGUGGGAGUUUCUCGAAAAAGUGCUACAACAAUUCGGUUUUGAAGCAGUAUGGAUCAAUUGGGUAAUGGAGUGUGUCACCACAGUCUCCUAUUCUUACCUGAUUAAUGGGGCGCCUUAUGGGAGCGUCUCUCCGAAGCGAGGACUGCGACAAGGAGACCCGCUAUCCCCUUACCUCUUCAUUCUUUGUAUAGAGGUACUUACGGGCCUGUGUCUCAGGGAGCAACAAUCUGGCAGCUUUAAAGGUCUGAGAGUAGCUCGCAAAAGCCCCCUGGUCAACCACUUGUUUUUUGCUGAUGAUACUGUUUUCUUCAGCAACACCAGUGUAAAAAACUAUACCUCUUUAAUGAGGAUCCUUCAGAGAUAUGAAGCUUGCUCAGGACAAUGCAUAAAUCUCGAAAAAUCUACCAUCUCCUUUUCCUCAAGAACCCCGGAAGCAAUCAUGACUCGAGUAAAAGUUGCAGUUGGGAUUGAUAAGGCGGGAGGAAUGGGAAAGUACCUGGGAUUACCUGAAACGUUUGGCCGCUGCAAGAGAGAUGUGUUCACGGGCUUGGUGGAUAAAAUCCGACAGCGAUCUCACUCUUGGCCAACAAAAUUCCUUUCUGGUGCAGGGAAGCAUGUGCUCCUCCAAACUGUCCUCUCUUCCUUUCCAAACUACUCCAUGUCAGAGUUUCAAAAUCCAAAAAUCCCUAUGCAAGCGCAUACAAUCAGUUCUCACCAGAUUUUGGUGGGAUAGCGCUCCCGAUAAGAAGAAGAUGGCAUGGGUUUCGUGGGACGGAAUGGCUACGCCGAAAUGUAUGGGAGGCUUGGGGUUUAAAAAUUUGGAAUCCUUUAAUGAUGCCCUCCUUGCAAAGCUGGGUUGGAGAAUCAUGAAUCAUCCAGAUGCUUUACUCUCUCAGGUGCUGAAAGGGAAAUACUUUUGGGACUGCUCAUUCCUAGAGAGUUCACCAAAGCAAGCAUCUUCCCAUGGAUGGAUCGGGAUAAUGGCAGGGAAAGCGCUGCUUGAGAAGGGUCUGGGAUUCUUGGUGGGGGAUGGUGAAAAUAUCAAUGUAUGGUCAGAUGCUUGGCUCUCUCCCUCUCAGUCUCUGACGUCGAUAGGACCACCAACCUUUGAAAACCAAAAGCUUAAAGUAAAAGACCUCCUGCUCCCAGACUCUAACGUUUGGAACCUGCCCCAAAUCCGACUCCAUUUACCUCACUAUGAGGAUGUUAUAAGACAGCUGAUUCCUAGUGCUUUGAAACCACCAGAUAGACAGGUCUGGUUUGGAGAAAGCAAUGGCAUUUACUCAACCAAGUCAGGCUACAAGAUGGAAAAUAUCCAAGUUUCAAUUCAAAACCCUCAUGGGUUUGACUGGAUAAAACAUGUCUGGAAGUUGGACUCCCCAUGCAAGAUCCAACACUUCCUCUGGCGAGCUCUGAAUAAUGCUUUCCCUGUGGCUGAGCUUCUGAUCCAUAGAGGAAUGGAAGUAGACCCAUCUUGUAAAGUCCGUGGAGAACUAGAAACCAUUGAUCAUGUUCUCCUACAUUGCUCCUUUGACCAAAGAACUUGGGAAAUGGCCCCAACUCAACUCGUAUCAGGUCAUGCGCUACCUACAAACUCGCUCAAACAGCUGCUCUCUCUUGUACCGAAAGUUCUCAAUCUUCCCCUUUCGGGUUUAACCUGUUCUCCGCUGUCCCCCUGGAUCUUUUGGAACCUUUGGACAGCAAGGAACAAAAGGAUUUUUGAGAACAAAAUCUACUCGGCUGAAGAGACUCUUUCUAAAGCUAUUAGAGAUGCUAAAGAGUGGGAAGGGGCAAAGAAGAAUCCUGCUGUGAUAGAAAAGCCUAGGCAGAACCCUAUGAACCAAUUUGACUCUAUAAUCCCAACUUGUUGUGUUGAUGGUGCAUGGAAGACGGAUUUUAAAUGUGCUGGUUUUGGUUGGUUUAUACAGGAUAAGCAAACUAAGUUGGAGAUUAAAGGGGCGGCAUCACGCUGUCACGUAGCAUCUGCGCUAACAGCUGAAGCUCUCGCUCUCCGGGAAGCACUCCAAGUGGCCUCUAAUGCGGGGCUAACACGCCUCAAGAUCAUGUCGGACUCAAGGGUCCUCCUCUCUGCCCUGCGAUCAGGGACGGUUCUGAAUGAGAUAGCGGGACUUCUCCAUGAAAUUAGUCACCUCAUUUCUCUCUUCUCAACCUUAUCUUUUGUUGUAAUCUCUCGUUCAGUAAAUGCUAUAGCCGAUGGGCUUGCGAAAGCUGUUCUUGCAGCUCUUUGUCUUCAAAACAUUGUAUGAAUGCUUUAGUAUGAAUUAAUCCGUUGACCAAAAAAAAAAUUAACCUGUAAGUAAUCUGACAUGAUUUUUAGUUAUUUAAAAUUUUAUGGACUUUUUGAAACUUUUACAUAAAUCUAUGACAAAUAUCAUUAUCCAAACUUUAUAUUUUCGAUUUGAGUAUCUGGAGAAGUCAGCAGAAUCUUCAUGGUUUCUUUUCUCUUUUAUCAAGAUUUUGUUCUUUGGUUUAGUUUGUAGAUUAGGUGUAUAUCUCAAUUACACUAGAGUUUAAGGCAAUGUGAUUACAAAGUUUGUGUAUUGGUAGUCUUCUUUCCCUCCUCGUGUCGGUUGAACCGCUGGACUCUAUUAUCUCCGUUGAUUACUUUUUUUUUUGACAAAAUGUGAAUUCAUUUCAUAGAAAUGACAUUUAGAUAUAAUAGCUUGGAUCUAAUUUUGCUAGAACUAGCAAAGGCUAUCUAAAAAUCCUCAAAAAAAGAAAAAAAAAGAUCCUUAAAUACAAUGUUAGGCUUAAUCAUGAAACAUGGAGAACAACAUGACAGCAAUUGACUCCCGUAUGACCCAGAGGACACUUUAAUGCUGAAACCUGCAAAAAAAAUUUGAGAUCAAGGGAAAGUUCAGGAGCGAAUGAGAUCCCAGAGGAAUCAGAUGUUUUGACAGGCGAAGGCGGUUAGGCGCCCCGACCAUAACUCCAUCAAGAGUCCGCUCCCUAACAAACCAGAAGAUUGAGAAGGAUGAGGCUGUUGGUCCGAUCCGACAAGAGGAAGAGCAAGCGAUGAAGAACGAGAACUCGUGAACUGCAGGCGGUGGUUUUUGACACUCUACACAGAGAUUGAUGCUUUCCUAUCGACAAAGAGACUUUCCUAUCGACAAAGAGGCAGUACACUUCCACCCCCACCUUCCUGCGAGAGCCUGAAGAACCGGAGCUGGAGCUCCAAACGAACAAGGCGACACGACUGACUGCUGAAACAACACCGUACAAAGGAGAACGAACUGAGCAUGUCCUCGAAGCUCAAAGUCUCCGGUAGACAGCAAACGAGCCAGGAUGACAUAGAAGUGUCACCGAGAUUUGCUGGCAUGUAGAUCUAAAAACAGAGGCCCUCAGCAGAGUGUCUCGAACUCCACCGCUCUCUAAAGAAUGAUCUUUGAGGAGAGGCUCUACAACACCUUGAGUGACUGGAAAACAGAGGAACCGAACAAUAGGAAGGGAGAGGAGCACAUUGGAGGCAGAGACGUUCCAGAUCUGCUCCGCCAAACCUUGAGAAAACGAAUAUGACCCAGAUCCGACAACGGCUCUUUGUUCUACCAAAAAAGUAAGGACACAUUGUCCAAUCUGCUGGUGACCUCCUCGUCUACUCUCUAGAGAGGCUUGGUAUGCACAAAGCUUCCGUUUAGGUCCGUUGAGGCAGAGAUCCAGAGAGUAUAGGAAGAAAGGAGGCGGCGAGAACAGAGGGAUAAAGGGUGAGAGACUGAAGCUUACGCAUAUUGGAAGAGGUGGGAGGUCGACGGCGAAGGCUCGCCGACCGCCAUAGGAGAGAUAAAGUUGACAGCGGGAAUUAGGUUAAAAAGAGAUGAAAGGGAGAGACACUGGAGAGAAUUAUUCUCUCACCUCUCUCUUGGAAAGAUUAUUCUCUCACCUUUUUUCGUUGAUUACUAUUGGAUCUUCUUUUAAUAUAAUAAAAUGAAACAUUUGAGUUAGAACUUACGUGCUUUCAAAACAAGAGGUAGAAUGCUGCAUGUUUGUUUAUUCAUAUUAAUCAAAUACUUUAUAAGAUAUUGUAAAUUUUAUAGAAAAAAGAUUUACAAAAAUUUAAAAUUUUGUAAAAUGGCAUAGUCGAAAAUUCAAAACUUCAUAUAUUAUACCGUUUUAAUAUUUUAAACUGUAUAAAAUUAUAGUUCCUUUCAAAAGAUUAAGUGGAAUAACUUAAUCUGAAAUGCAUACUAAUUAUAUACUCUAUUGAUGGAGUGGGUGACACACUGAAUAUAAUCAGCCUUACUUUCCACUGACAGAGUCGUCGAUCGAUACAUAUUGAACAUAUUCAUCCUUCUUCUUGAACAGUGGAUAUAUCCACAUGAUCUGAUCAAAUUUUAGUUUCCUUAUGGAGUGGUGAGCAAUGUACAGUAUUCACAUUCAAUGAAACUCGAGGAAACAACUCUGCUAAUUCAUCCUGCAAAUCAUACUUGAUAUCUGCAAAAUAAUAACGAGAGAAAACGUUAUACAUAGUUACCAUAACUAAUACAAAUACAUCACAAUACCUUAGAUUACACAUCCAACUAGUUACUAUUGAUAAACAUCUCAGGGUCAAUCUAAUUUUUAACAAAAUAUAAAGUCUAGUACGUUUAUUUUUGAACAAAUAAAGUCUAUUUCAAUCUAACAGGUAUAUAAAACAAUAAACACACAAUCAUAGACAAAAAUUAACAGAACAUAAUGACAGACUCAGAGUACCACAAUUAAUUCUUCUUUUUACCAACCUAGCUAGAUUUGCGAAUUAUAGUUGCAGCUGAUCGUGACUGGUUUUUCUUGUCAUUAGCUUCACUUAGUUGCAUUAUCUUCAUUUGAUUCUCAAGUCCACUUUUCUUGAUGUUCAUUCCCUUAACACUUGUGCUUAAUCCAUGAAAAACAUCAAAGAUUGCUUUAUGAAGCUUCUCAAUGCAGGAGUAAAAUACGUUGACUUACUAACUUCUCGGUUUCAGUCAAUUCCUCUUUCUCUUGAACUUUUAAAUCUUCCUUCUCUUCACCCAACAUGAAUCUCCUUUUUUCAACCCAACCUAAAUGUUUUUUUUUUGUUAAAUUUUGUGGAGGACAAAUCAGGUUUACCACCUACGUAUCUUCUAUCUCAUCCUUCCAUUUAAGUUCUAUAAGACUUGACAGGUUCUCGUUACCAAUAAAAUUAUGGACAGCAACCUAUAAAAUAGAGACAUUUUAUUAAAAGUAUAGUAGAAACAUCUCAAAAUAAUAACAUUUAGUGACAGAAUAUAUGCAUAGACCAAAUUUAAACCUUAUCGAUAAUUUCUUCAAGACCAAUAAGUCAAUUCUUGCUUUAGAUCCCUUCCACUUCAACCUACCGCGUGAGCUUUAACCUUCUUAGCUAUUAACGCAACAUCCUCAUAUCCCCAUAUUUUUUUUUUGUCAAGAAUUUCAUUCAAAAACAAGUCAAAUGACUUGAAAUCACACAAGUUUUGAAACAGAAAAUUGCAAAUAAGACUUCAGUAGAUGCCACAAGG
RNAcentral lists this long non-coding RNA (14014 nucleotides) under Brassica napus (rape). RNAcentral's name for it is "long non-coding RNA (BNAP_LNC016388)". The record is from RNAcentral. Lineage: Eukaryota; Viridiplantae; Streptophyta; Magnoliopsida; Brassicales; Brassicaceae.